AGAGUUUGAUCAUGGCUCAGGACGAACGCUGGCGGCGCGCCUAACACAUGCAAGUCGAACGAGCGAGAGAGAGCUUGCUUUCUCGAGCGAGUGGCGAACGGGUGAGUAACGCGUGAGGAACCUGCCUCAAAGAGGGGGACAACAGUUGGAAACGACUGCUAAUACCGCAUAAGCCCACGGUGCCGCAUGGCACAGAGGGAAAAGGAGCAAUCCGCUUUGAGAUGGCCUCGCGUCCGAUUAGCUAGUUGGUGAGGUAACGGCCCACCAAGGCAACGAUCGGUAGCCGGACUGAGAGGUUGAACGGCCACAUUGGGACUGAGACACGGCCCAGACUCCUACGGGAGGCAGCAGUGGGGAAUAUUGCACAAUGGGGGAAACCCUGAUGCAGCGACGCCGCGUGGAGGAAGAAGGUCUUCGGAUUGUAAACUCCUGUUGUUGGGGAAGAUAAUGACGGUACCCAACAAGGAAGUGACGGCUAACUACGUGCCAGCAGCCGCGGUAAAACGUAGGUCACAAGCGUUGUCCGGAAUUACUGGGUGUAAAGGGAGCGCAGGCGGGAAGACAAGUUGGAAGUGAAAUCUAUGGGCUCAACCCAUAAACUGCUUUCAAAACUGUUUUUCUUGAGUAGUGCAGAGGUAGGCGGAAUUCCCGGUGUAGCGGUGGAAUGCGUAGAUAUCGGGAGGAACACCAGUGGCGAAGGCGGCCUACUGGGCACCAACUGACGCUGAGGCUCGAAAGUGUGGGUAGCAAACAGGAUUAGAUACCCUGGUAGUCCACACCGUAAACGAUGAUUACUAGGUGUUGGAGGAUUGACCCCUUCAGUGCCGCAGUUAACACAAUAAGUAAUCCACCUGGGGAGUACGACCGCAAGGUUGAAACUCAAAGGAAUUGACGGGGGCCCGCACAAGCAGUGGAGUAUGUGGUUUAAUUCGACGCAACGCGAAGAGCCUUACCAAGUCUUGACAUCCCUUGACAGGCAUAGAAAUAUGUUUUCUCUUCGGAGCAAGGAGACAGGUGGUGCAUGGUUGUCGUCAGCUCGUGUCGUGAGAUGUUGGGUUAAGUCCCGCAACGAGCGCAACCCUUAUGGUCAGUUACUACGCAAGAAGACUCUGGCCAGACUGCCGUUGACAAAACGGAGGAAGGUGGGGAUGACGUCAAAUCAUCAUGCCCUUUAUGACUUGGGCUACACACGUACUACAAUGGCGUUAAACAAAGAGAAGCGAGACCGCGAGGUGGAGCAAAACUCAGAAACAACGUCCCAGUUCGGACUGCAGGCUGCAACUCGCCUGCACGAAGUCGGAAUUGCUAGUA
This 1311-nucleotide ribosomal RNA is filed under the name metagenome. RNAcentral describes it as "bacterial SSU rRNA". It matches the Rfam family "Bacterial small subunit ribosomal RNA", at positions 8 to 1340 of the family's 1533-position model. The record is from RNAcentral.